CGAGCGGUAGAGAGAAGCUUGCUUCUCUUGAGAGCGGCGGACGGGUGAGUAAUGCCUAGGAAUCUGCCUGGUAGUGGGGGAUAACGUUCGGAAACGGACGCUAAUACCGCAUACGUCCUACGGGAGAAAGCAGGGGACCUUCGGGCCUUGCGCUAUCAGAUGAGCCUAGGUCGGAUUAGCUAGUUGGUGAGGUAAUGGCUCACCAAGGCGACGAUCCGUAACUGGUCUGAGAGGAUGAUCAGUCACACUGGAACUGAGACACGGUCCAGACUCCUACGGGAGGCAGCAGUGGGGAAUAUUGGACAAUGGGCGAAAGCCUGAUCCAGCCAUGCCGCGUGUGUGAAGAAGGUCUUCGGAUUGUAAAGCACUUUAAGUUGGGAGGAAGGGCUUGUAGCAUUAAUACUC
Molecule: ribosomal RNA, 405 nt
Filed under: Pseudomonas sp. DB2-23
Lineage: Bacteria; Pseudomonadati; Pseudomonadota; Gammaproteobacteria; Pseudomonadales; Pseudomonadaceae
Description: bacterial SSU rRNA
Rfam family: Bacterial small subunit ribosomal RNA
Source: RNAcentral